RNAcentral lists this ribosomal RNA (497 nucleotides) under uncultured bacterium. Its description in RNAcentral is "partial 16S ribosomal RNA". It matches the Rfam family "Bacterial small subunit ribosomal RNA", at positions 28 to 507 of the family's 1533-position model. The record is from RNAcentral.
GAUGAACGCUGGCGGCGUGCCUAAUACAUGCAAGUCGAGCGAACAGAUGAGGAGCUUGCUCCUCUGACGUUAGCGGCGGACGGGUGAGUAACCCGUGGAUAACCUACCUAUAAGACUGGGAUAACUUCGGGAAACCGGAGCUAAUACCGGAUAAUAUAUUGAACCGCAUGGUUCAAUAGUGAAAGACGGUUUUGCUGUCCCUUAUAGAUGGAUCCGCGCCGCAUUAGCUAGUUGGUAAGGUAACGGCUUACCAAGGCAACGAUGCGUAGCCGACCUGAGAGGGUGAUCGGCCACACUGGAACUGAGACACGGUCCAGACUCCUACGGGAGGCAGCAGUAGGGAAUCUUCCGCAAUGGGCGAAAGCCUGACGGAGCAACGCCGCGUGAGGGAUGAAGGUCUUCGGAUCGUAAAACUCUGUUAUUAGGGAAGAACAAAUGUGUAAGUAACUAUGCACGUCUUGACGGUACCGAAUCAGAAAGCAACGGCUAACUACGUG